Vigna umbellata (rice bean) is the source of this 1067-nucleotide non-coding RNA. The record is from RefSeq and is a predicted model, not a curated record. NCBI's taxonomy places the organism in Eukaryota, Viridiplantae, Streptophyta, Magnoliopsida, Fabales, Fabaceae.
ACUACGAAUAAUAAAAUUAUUCUUAUCCACUUUUAACAUCCAUUUUCGUUCUCCCUCUCCGAUCCGAAACCCAUCGCCUCUAACUCUCUCAGAUCUCUCUUUCUAAGCCUCACUCAACACCUUCCGCGAAAUUCCCCUAACCUAUUGAACGUAUAUUCGUCUCCUUUUAUCUUUCCUUUUCUUCGCAGCUUUCUGCAAUUGCUUCGCUAGGGUUUCUCCGAGGCCACGGAUUUUCCACUGUAUGCGUAAGGAACAGCACGGAAUUGAUAGACAUGCGUACCCUAUACCCAACCGUCGCUGCUCCUCUUUCUCUUUCAAACUUUUCCUUUAGGACCAAUUUCCUUGUUCGAUGCAGUAAUCUUCACUCGCAACCGCAACUCGACACGCGCAAGUUAGUUCUUUCAGUGAAGGAAAAGCUUGAAAAAGAACACCAUAGCCUCCCUGUUGGAAGAAAUGGAAGGGAUGACGAAGAUAUGAUACUGUGGUUUCUCAAAGAUCGCAAGUUUUCUGUUGAAGAUGCUAUUUCCAAGUUGACUAAAGCGAUUGUAUCCUUCUCGUGAUUGUAUCAAUGUCCAAUUUUAUUCAUAACGCAUCACCACCGUUGUUUCAGGAGUGGGAAAUGGCGUCAAGAUUUUGAGGUGUCUAAAUUGACCGAUGAAACUGUUAAAGAUGCUGCUCAAACUGGAAAAGGAUAUGUACACGACUUUCUAGAUAUUAAUGAUAGACCUGUGCUUGUGGUGGUUGGAUCAAAGCAUAUUCCUAUGGUAAGAGUAGAAGUGGUAGUUGUUAGUAUUUUAUUGUUCUUUAUUGCUUUAUAUUUCUUGUUAUUGUUAUAUUCCGUGAAAUAAAACCGACUUGAGAAAAUGUUAAUACUGGCAUGCAGCGAAAAUUUGCUUUGCAGUGAAAGAUAUGAAUGUUUCAAUUUUCUGAGGAUAAUAAUUAAGAGUUUGACGUUGUGCUCUGAUUUGCGUUUGAACACCUAUUUAGUUUAGAACGCUAAUGACCAUAGAGACAGGGACUGAUGUUGCAAAUUCACUGGAAUGUGGGAAAUGAGUAAAACAAACACU